Molecule: ribosomal RNA, 497 nt
Filed under: uncultured bacterium
Lineage: Bacteria
Description: partial 16S ribosomal RNA
Rfam family: Bacterial small subunit ribosomal RNA
Source: RNAcentral
GAUGAACGCUGGCGGCGUGCCUAAUACAUGCAAGUCGAGCGAACAGACGAGGAGCUUGCUCCUCUGACGUUAGCGGCGGACGGGUGAGUAACACGUGGAUAACCUACCUAUAAGACUGGGAUAACUUCGGGAAUCCGGAGCUAAUACCGGAUAAUAUAUUGAACCGCAUGGUUCAAUAGUGAAGGACGGUUUUGCUGUCACUUAUAGAUGGAUCCGCGCCGCAUUAGCUAGUUGGUAAGGUAACGGCUUACCAAGGCAACGAUGCGUAGCCGACCUGAGAGGGUGAUCGGCCACACUGGAACUGAGACACGGUCCAGACUCCUACGGGAGGCAGCAGUAGGGAAUCUUCCGCAAUGGGCGAAAGCCUGACGGAGCAACGCCGCGUGAGUGAUGAAGGUCUUCGGAUCGUAAAACUCUGUUAUUAGGGAAGAACAAAUGUGUAAGUAACUAUGCACGUCUUGACGGUACCUAAUCAGAAAGCCACGGCUAACUACGUG